Molecule: long non-coding RNA, 785 nt
Organism: Mus musculus (house mouse)
Lineage: Eukaryota; Metazoa; Chordata; Mammalia; Rodentia; Muridae
Product: predicted gene 15323
Exons: 3
Source: RefSeq, a predicted model, not a curated record
CUGCCUUCCGGACAUUGGGCCUUUGCCACGUGGAAUGAGAAACCAAUAUCCUCAGGAUACUCAUUUGAUAGAAACGAUAGAAAUGACUAAACAAAAAGUUCCAACUAAGGCCAGAGUGGGAGAUUUCGCUCAUCCUCCCUCCCGAUCCUGCACACUACCUUCCUAUUAGAGGACCAACUCCAUAGCAGAAAAGUCUACUUCUCCUCUUCCCUCUCUCCUCCUGGAAGCAACCAUGUACCUGUGGAUGCUAGGGCGCUUCACAGAUGAAGACAACAUUCCUGCUAGCAAGAUGCUCAACCUAAAGAAAGCAGAGUCCUAAUAAGCAGUGGCUCAUCAGUAUGCUCUCGGGUGUGGCACUGUCACGUGGCCACCUACUCCUUGUUCUGUCACCAUGUUCCAUCAAACUUUCAGAGAAUCUGAGGUCUCUAUCUUGACUUUUAUCUUUUCUCGCCCUCCAUGUUCUGUCCUGAAACGUGAUCCCACCUGUUAUAUCACUGCCUACUUGUACCCCAAGGCUCCCUUUCUUUCCCAGUCCAUCUGUGGCACACUGAGCAGAAACCAUCUGGAACUGAGACUGAGGGGGACAGCAUCAGUGUGGCCACAAGGACAAGGGUGUGGUCAUGAGGGAAUGCCCUGUCAAGUGGUUUCACGUAGAUUUCCCGUAGUGUGUCUGGUUUCCACAUGUCCUCACAGGCACGGGGAUCAGAAGCACGAUGAACAGCGGGUGACUGAUGCUUAGAUUCCGUGGCUCGUCAACAUAUUUGGCAAGAAAGUUUCCUUCCCUC